This 249-nucleotide unclassified non-coding RNA is filed under the name Hevea brasiliensis (rubber tree). Lineage: Eukaryota; Viridiplantae; Streptophyta; Magnoliopsida; Malpighiales; Euphorbiaceae. The record is from RNAcentral.
GGUUCUUUGAGGGACUCCAUUUCUCAGAUUAAAGUUAUGGGAUUGAAUGAUCCCAUAAUUAAACCUGAAGUUGCUAUGAAGGUUCUUUCUGUAUUGACACAUAAUAUCUCAAGCACUAAAUAUCAUCUUGGAAAGAAUCCUAGGGAGAGUGUUUUGGAUGGUUUCCCAAACAAAAUAAAGGAGGAUUUGCUGCAUCAUUGGAUGUCUAUUGAGGAGUUGCUGAGACAUUACUGGUCAUCAUAUCCAGCC